Molecule: ribosomal RNA, 424 nt
Filed under: uncultured bacterium
Lineage: Bacteria
Description: bacterial SSU rRNA
Rfam family: Bacterial small subunit ribosomal RNA
Source: RNAcentral
UGGGGAAUAUUGGACAAUGGGCGAAAGCCUGAUCCAGCAAUGCCGCGUGAGUGAUGAAGGCCUUAGGGUUGUAAAGCUCUUUCGCACGCGACGAUGAUGACGGUAGCGUGAGAAGAAGCCCCGGCUAACUUCGUGCCAGCAGCCGCGGUAAUACGAAGGGGGCUAGCGUUGUUCGGAAUUACUGGGCGUAAAGGGCGCGUAGGCGGCGAUUAUAGUUAGGCGUGAAAGCCCUGGGCUCAACCUGGGAAUUGCGCUUAAUACUGGAUCGCUAGAGUUCGGGAGAGGAUAGUGGAAUUCCCAGUGUAGAGGUGAAAUUCGUAGAUAUUGGGAAGAACACCGGUGGCGAAGGCGGCUAUCUGGACCGACACUGACGCUGAGGCGCGAAAGCGUGGGGAGCAAACAGGAUUAGAUACCCCCGUAGUCC